AUGCUCCCAUUGGUAGCACAUCUAUUAACAUUGGAAGCCUACAGAGAUUAGCAUGGCCCUGCAGAAGGAUGACAUGCAAAUUUGUAAAGUGUUCCAUAUUUUU
Small nuclear RNA from Mastomys coucha (southern multimammate mouse), 103 nucleotides. The record is from RefSeq and is a predicted model, not a curated record. Lineage: Eukaryota; Metazoa; Chordata; Mammalia; Rodentia; Muridae.